RNAcentral lists this ribosomal RNA (325 nucleotides) under uncultured eukaryote. RNAcentral's name for it is "partial 18S ribosomal RNA". It matches the Rfam family "Eukaryotic small subunit ribosomal RNA", at positions 1470 to 1796 of the family's 1831-position model. The record is from RNAcentral.
CCCUUAGAGGUUCUGGGCCGCACGCGCGCUACACUGAUGCAUUCAACGAGCCUAUCCUUGACCGACAGGUCCGGGUAAUCUUUGAAUCUGCAUCGUGACGGGGAUAGAUUAUUGCAAUUAUUAAUCUUCAACGAGGAAUGCCUAGUAGGCGCAAGUCAUCAGCUUGCGUCGAUUACGUCCUUGCCCUUUGUACACACCGCCCGUCGCUCCUACCGAUUGGGUGUGCUGGUGAAAUGUUCGGAUCGGCCGUUUGUCGCGGUUUCCGCGUCAUGUGGCUGAGAAGUUCAUUAAACCCUCCCACCUAGAGGAAGGAGAAGUCGUAACA